Haplochromis burtoni (Burton's mouthbrooder) is the source of this 1240-nucleotide long non-coding RNA. RefSeq lists it as uncharacterized. NCBI's taxonomy places the organism in Eukaryota, Metazoa, Chordata, Actinopteri, Cichliformes, Cichlidae. The record is from RefSeq and is a predicted model, not a curated record. The transcript has 7 exons.
GAUGUUGACUACGGCUGGAAUAUUUGUCUUGUUGUCUAUUCUAGGAAAACUAAGUGGAAAUUUGGGUGAAAAUGUUGCCAGACUUGGACAAGUGGCUCAGUCUUCAACGUAUGGGAAUGCCAAACCCGAAAAUGCCAUUGAUGGGAAUCGUGCCAGCAACUACAACCAGGGAUCCUGUGCCUGUACAAACAACAACUUGAAUCCAUGGUGGAGACUUGACCUUUUGAAGACAUAUAAAAUCAACACUGUGACUAUCACCAACAGACAAGACUGUUGCCCUGAGAGGAUCAAUGGAGCUGAGAUCCGCAUUGGAAAUUCACUUAAUGACAAUGGCAAUGCGAAUCCCAGAUGUGCUGUAAUCUCAUCCAUCGCUGCUGGGGCAUCACAAACCUUUGCAUGCAAUGGAAUGGAAGGUCGCUACAUAAACAUCGUUAUUCCUGGGAGAACAGAAUACCUGACACUUUGUGAGGUGGAAGUUGAUGGUACACUUUCAGAGACUAAUGUUGCCAGACUUGGACAAGUGAGUCAGUCUUCAACGUAUGGGAAUGCCAAACCCGAAAAUGCCAUUGAUGGGAAUCGUGCCAGCAACUACAACCAGGGAUCCUGUGCCUGUACAAACAACAACUUGAAUCCAUGGUGGAGACUUGACCUUUUGAAGACAUAUAAAAUCAACACUGUGACUAUCACCAACAGACAAGACUGUUGCCCUGAGAGGAUCAAUGGAGCUGAGAUCCGCAUUGGAAAUUCACUUAAUGACAAUGGCAAUGCGAAUCCCAGAUGUGCUGUAAUCUCAUCCAUCGCUGCUGGGGCAUCACAAACCUUUGCAUGCAAUGGAAUGGAAGGUCGCUACAUAAACAUCGUUAUUCCUGGGAGAACAGAAUACCUGACACUUUGUGAGGUGGAAGUUGAUGGUACACUUUCAGAGACUAAUGUUGCCAGACUUGGACAAGUGAGUCAGUCUUCAACGUAUGGGAAUGCCAAACCCGAAAAUGCCAUUGAUGGGAAUCGUGCCAGCAACUACAACCAGGGAUCCUGUGCCCAUACAAACAACGACUUGAAUCCAUGGUGGAGACUUGACCUUUUGAAGACAUAUAAAAUCAACACUGUGACUAUCACCAACAGACAAGACUGUUGCCCUGAGAGGAUCAAUGGAGCUGAGAUCCGCAUUGGAAAUUCACUUAAUGACAAUGGCAAUGCGAAUCCCAGGUAAAUGAGCUACUCAUCUUUGAAACUUUGUCAU